Molecule: ribosomal RNA, 468 nt
Filed under: uncultured bacterium
Lineage: Bacteria
Description: partial 16S ribosomal RNA
Rfam family: Bacterial small subunit ribosomal RNA
Source: RNAcentral
GACGAACGCUGGCGGCGUGCUUAACACAUGCAAGUCGAACGGAAAGGCCCUGCUUUUGUGGGGUGCUCGAGUGGCGAACGGGUGAGUAACACGUGAGUAACCUGCCCUUGACUUUGGUAUAACUUCAGGAAACUGGGGCUAAUACCGGAUAGGAGCUCCUGCUGCAUGGUGGGGGUUGUAAAGUUUCGUCGGUUGGGGAUGGACUCGCGGCUUAUCAGCUUGUUGGUGGGGUAGUGGCUUACCAAGGCUUUGACGGGUAGCCGGCCUGAGAGGGUGAACGGCAACAUUGGGACUGAGAUACGGCCCAGACUCCUACGGGAGGCAGCAGUGGGGAAUAUUGCACAAUGGGCGGAAGCCUGAUGCAGCAACGCAGCGUGCGGGAUGACGGCCUUCGGGUUGUAAACCGCUUUCGCCUGUGACGAAGCGUGAGUGACGGUAAUGGGUAAAGAAGCACCGGCUAACUACGUG